This 218-nucleotide long non-coding RNA is filed under the name Daucus carota (carrot). Its description in RNAcentral is "long non-coding RNA (DCAR_LNC003027)". Lineage: Eukaryota; Viridiplantae; Streptophyta; Magnoliopsida; Apiales; Apiaceae. The record is from RNAcentral.
UGUGCCCUAUUUUCAAUAUAUGUUUAAUAUUUUAUUAUUAAAGUCUUCCUUUCAUCAUUAAAACACAAUAUAAAGUAGAGAGAGAAAGAGGGUAGAUAUAAAAUUUUAUAUUAAAAUAUUGGAUAGGGCAAGGAGAGAGGUGCCCUAUUAAUAGGGCUUGAAGAGAUCGUCCUAGUGAUAUAAGGCAUCACUAGGACACUCUUGGAUCAACAUUUUUC